AAAAAUUUAAAUAAGAUCAAAUUGAAAAACUUAGCCGUUACUAUUUAAAAAAUAUCAUUUAUUAUUGUGAUACCCAAUUCUUGCCCGGGGCCCAAAACUGUUUACAGCCCACAUUUGGCUGAAUACAAACCAAACACAUGAGGCCCAAUAAAGCCCAAACCAAUAACACUAUACAGCCCGAAUUUUUCAAGGUCACAGAAACCCUAAGAGGCUGAUGGUUUCGGCGCCGCAACUACCCACGUUCAUCAAACCGUUCAUCGAGCCAUGUCUUUGCUCACACGUUCGGCAGUUUCCACAAGGCUCGUUUCCACGUUCGUUCCACCUGCAAAUAAACCACGAAUCACAUCACAACAGGCAAGGGAUAGGAGUUAAUUAAUAGAUAUUAGUUUUGGGUAUAAGAGGCCGAUUGUAAACCGAUUUUGGGGUGAGCAAAAAUUCUGUAAAGAAAAAUUAGAAAGAAAAUACAGAGCAGAAAGAAACAGAAAAACAAAAGUUUUGAAGGUGAAUUUGGAUUUUCGUUUACUCUUUUACUCUUUUCUUAUUUUAUGUUUUCGAGGUUGCUUUUCUUUUUAAUAAAUGAAGUAGCAAAAGGAAAGAGGAAGGAUGUACUUACCAGCAAGGAAGAAAUCUGCUGCCGAAUCGGAGACAGAGGUGCCAGAGGGUGCGGCGGCUUUGGGUGGUGGCUUGGGAUAAAGAAAACCCUAGCAGAGCAUUACUCCCCUGUUCUUUUAUUUUGUUCUAAAGCAGAAAAAAUGAAUUUUAAAAACAAAGGAGAUUUUUUUAUAUACUGAAAUCAAAACGGUGCCGUAUUAGUGACCUGUGCGACCCGACCCAUAAACCCGUUUGAAUCCGUGCAUUUCUUCUAAAGGGACUAUUUGCGCAAUUAGUCCUCAUGUUUUUAUGGUGUUUUUCAAUUUUUUUUAAUUUUUUUAUUUCUUUCAAAUUUUAUUGCACAUUUUAUGUCUGUUUCAAUCUAACCCAUGUUGUUGCGCAGCGUUUUGGAGGGAAUGAAUUAAUUUCCCUUUUGGUCCCAUACUGUUUAUUGUGUGUUCUAUGUAAUCCAUCGGUGUUUUAUUUGUUUCAAAUUUACCCUGAAUUUCUGUUUUAAGUUUAAUUUAGUCCUUUUGAUUAUUUUUCACUAUUAUUGUAUUAUUAAUUAUUGUUAUUAUAAUUAUAAUUAUAUUAUAUAUUAUUACACCUAUAGGUACACGCAUAUAUGUUAAUAUAUGUAUGUAUUUAUAUAUAUUUAAACAUUUUUUAAAAAAAUACAUAUGCAUAUUUUUAUAUAUUUUAUUAUUAUUUUAUUUUCAUAGUUUCUAUAUACAUAUAUGUACACGUACAUAUAUGUAUAUUUUGAUCUUAUUUUAUUAUUUUAUUAUCUUAUCAUACUUUUAAAGAAAAAUAUAUUUUGAUCUUGGUCAAAAUGCUUAAAUCAUCAUUUUUUUAAAAAAAAUUUAAAUAUUUGGUAAUCAUGAUUCUCGAGAAAGAUCAUGUCCUAACUUACUGGAUCGUGAUCAUUUUUCGAUGAAUUUGAAAGCUAAGUAUUUAUUUUACAAUAAAUUCGCAAUUUUCAAAUAAAACCUUAUUCUCGGGAAUUCAAAAUGUCGGGUCCUAACUUACUGGUCGUGACAUUUCGUUAUCUCGAAAUAAGAAUUUCUAAAACAAAAAGAAAUAUUCGGUAUUUUGAAGAUAUAAAAUAUUGUGCCCUAACUUACUGGGUGUGGUGUUUUAUUUCUUUGAAAUGAGAAUGUUUUAUCAUUUUAGAUUCAUUCACGGGUUAAAAAUUUCUAUUUAAAAUCUUUUCAAAUUUUCAACAUCAAGACAUAAAAUAAUCAAAUUUGGUACCGAUUUUUGGGCGUCACGAGGGUGCUAACCCUUCCUCAUGCGUAACUGACUCCCGAACCUGUUUUCUCAAAUUUUACAGACCAGAAUUGUUUUUUUGGUGAGCCGAUCACACUUUAAUAAAGGAUCGGUGGCGACUCCAAUUUUUGUCUUUAAAGUCGAUAACUUAUUUUUGUUUUCAAAAAAAUGGUUUCGACAGCUUGGCGACUCCACUGGGGACUUUCGAGAGUCGAGCCAUAAAUUGAUUAUUUGGUAUCUUUUUGUCGAGAAUUAAAAAAUUUUUUAAACCAUGAUUUCCCUUUUGCAUUCAUUGAUUUUUCAUUGUUAUAUAUUUGCUUGAUUAGCUUAAAGCUGUUAGCUUAUUUGCAUUUUGCAUUUCAUGGUCAAUUUUACCCCUCUAAGUGGGAGUGAGAAGCUAGUCAUUCGUGAGGUUUUCACCUCCGUGCAGGGUAGUGGAUGCUUUCGGGAUACAUCUGUACCUAUGUCUUCGUGAGAUUUUCAUCUCUGUGUAGCCAUAGGGAAAUGUGUCCCCCUGAAAGGAACUCGGUCUAUAUAAGCCUAUAAUGGGUGAGGAUCGAAGAAUCUGUUGGUUUGGGUACCCUUGCUCUAGAAGCUAAAACCUCAUAUAGUGAACCUUAGGAACCUACCCUAGGUAGAAUUACUUUGAGCCUUAGUAGACACCUAAUUAGGAGUUUUUACUAUUUCUUGGUUGUAUUGUAUUUAAUUAUUACUGACUUUUUGUGUUUUACUCUGAUUGCAUGGCAUUACAAUUACAUGGCAUUCCAUUAUAAAGGCGUUGGUUCAUAUUCGGUUGCUAAACAGAAAGCUUACCAUGGGAAAUGGGUUUCUUGAUAGAGUGGAGGACAAUACAGCUGUCCAAACUUGGGCUGAGAUGACACAGCACGAAAAAGGUGAUAGUUUGGCCGAGGGGUACGUAUCAGAAUUAUGGGACUUCACCCGUGUCAGCGUAGCUCAAAAUAACUUGCAGGAGUUGAAGGAGAUUUGGGAUCAGUGGAAUAAUGAGGUUAGGCAAUUAUUCUAUUCAAAUUAUAGGGAUUUACCUUAUUUACUUGAUAUGAAGGUAGACAAUCGUCUUUUUCGAGCUCUUGCCCAGUUUUGGAACCCGGCCUACAGUUGCUUCAUAUUUGGAAAGGUUGAUUUGGUGCCUACAAUAGAAGAGUACGUGGCAUUACUUCGGUGUUCGAGGAUUCAAGUAGACAGAAUCUAUUCGAAAGCGGUAAAUGUGCCAACCUUCUUGAGGAAGUUGAUGAAUAUAAUAGGGAUGAGCGAGCAAUGGGUUACAGCUCGGAUUAAGUAAAAGGGGGAUAGCAGAUACAUUCCUUAGAAAAUUUUGAAGGACCUCAUUUUAGCACACCCAGAUGCGAGGAAGAAGGUAGAUAUCUUUGCUUUAAGUAUAUAUGGUUUGGUUGUCUUCCCUAAGACUUUGGGGCAUGUUGACGAAGCGAUCACUGACUUAUUCAAUCAGCUUGAUAAGAGAGUUUCACCGGUCUCAGUAAUUUUGGCAGAAACUUUCAGGUCACUGAAUGCAUGCCGAAGAGCGGGAGAGGGUAGGUUUAUUGGAUGUGCACAGCUUCUACUUGCUUGGUUCCACAGUCACUUUUGGAAGGAGGAUAAGGUUUCAUAUCGGGUCUUCUCUGAAAGCUAUUCACCAUUGAAAGAGGUAGUGGCUACUCCUAGGAGAGAUGACAUCUCGGAGGAGAAAUGGAUGACAAUUUUUCAGAAUUUACAAGAGGAGGAUAUUGAGUGGAAAGCUCCAUGGUUGCUUCCAGAUGAGGUCUUAUAUCGGUGUGGGGAUUUCGACUGGGUUCCUUUGCUUGGAAUUUGGGGAGCUGUUGGUUAUGCCCCAUUGUUAGUGUUAAGGCAAUACAGGUCAAGACAGUUUGUGCCUGCAACUCAUGGACUGGCCGAGUGUGAAUUCUCGUAUAAAGAUGAUGGUUACAAAAAGAAAGCUCGUGAUAUGGCCAAUGCGUGGAAUCAAACUCGCCGAAUGAAGAGGUUAGCUGUGGGUCCAAUGACAACUCUCGAGUACAACGAAUGGUGGGUUAAGAGGAUCAACGAUAACAUUCUUGGGCCGAGUCUGGAAAAUAGUCAGUCGAUAGAGGAGCAUUUGUGUGUCGUCCCUACUAAGCUGGAGAUCAUAAAACAAGACUUUGAAAAGAAGAAUGCCGAAUUAGAGAAGAAAAUAGAGUAAAUGGAGGAAGAGAAAGUGAAUUUGAGACUGGAUGUAGAUGUUCAAAAGCUCGAGGCUGAUAAACUGAGAAAGGGGAAGAACAAGGCUGAGGAGGAGCUAGAUAGCUUAAAGACAGAUUACAAGAAAUUGCGUCUGUCAAUAAGAACUGCAGGGCUUGGAAAGAUUUCAGAGCAGUGGCGUGAAGAAAUUUGAGAGGAAAGAAACAGGUCAGAUUGGUGGGAAAAGAAAUUUCGAGAGGUACAAGCACGAAAUGAAGCAUUAGAAAGAAGCUUGUCGGAGAGCCAAAAGGAAAAGGGAGAACUAAAAGACAGAGUAGCUGAGUUAGAAGGGUCUCUUAGUCAACAUAGAAGUCGAAAUUCUGUGUUAGACCUGAAGGCAAGUCUGAGCAAGAUCGAAGAGAUGAAGGGUAAAAUAGAAGAGUUAGAAGCAACAUUGCGAAGUUGUGAGGUUCGAAUUGAGUAGCUAGAGGUAAAGGAAGGUCGUCAAAAUGAGCAACUUCAUUAUUUCCAGGAUCAAGUCAGAAAUAGGGAUCGCAUUAUGGGAGAAGAUGUGGUGCAGAUUCGUGAAGUGGUAGAUCACUUGCAAACUUUAGCUGUACAAGCUGACACGUUGAGCGUAAAGUUCGAGCUAGAGUCAGAUCGAGGACAAGAGUUAACAUCGUUGCUUAAAAAGAUCAAGGUCUUAAGUAUUAGGGCAAAGCCAUAUUUGUAGCACAUUCUAUGUAAAGAGAUUUAUUUUCUAAUAAAGUUUUCUGAAAGUAAUUGAAAUUAGAAUUAACGCCUUUUCUACAUUGCAUUUUCAUACAUCGCAUUGCAUGCAUUAGCAAAUUAUCAAAGGGUUCUAAUUAAUCAAAAUCAUUCCUCAAUUAACCUGGAAUCUAGCCAGCCAACUCAGCCCCGUUACAGUACACGAGCGAAAUCAAGAAAUAUGGACCAAAGGUUGGAAAAGCUCGAAGGGUUCCAAAAAGAAAUGCAAGAUCAGCUUCAGCAGUAAAUGAAGGAACAACUCGAGAAGAUUCAACAAAGUCUGAUGGAUAAAAUGGAGGAAUCACAAGGAAGUAUGAUGAUAAAGUUAACGCGAUUGUUGACCGAAGGGAAAGAUAAGGGAAAGAACCCUGUAACAAAUAUGGAAGAUGAGGGCGAGGAUGGACUCCAGUAUCCUCCAGGCUUCACUCCUCUACAUGUGCAGCACCAAGCGGAAGUGUACCCGCGUAAAUUUUCUGUUAUGAUUAGGCCGCAGUAAUUUCAAGCCGAUGCUUUGAGAUCGAUAAAUUUUCAGGCCGGAUCAGGCUCCAGUCCUGAGAAUAAUCUUGCCAAUCCUAUUGUUCCUGAUUUCGAAGAAGCAGUUGAAAAAGAGAAAACAAAAGAAGAAUUACCAAAGUAAUUGGAAAAAAGAUAGAAGCGGAUUGAGGAGAAAUUCAAAGCGAUGGAAACUACUGAAAGAUGCCAUGGGAUUGAUGCUAAGGAUUUAAGUUUGGUACCGGAUUUAGUACUUCCGUACAAAUUUAAGAUGCCGAAUUUCGAGAAGUAUAAUGGGACCACUUGCCCUGAAGCCCACAUUACUAUAUUUUGUAGGCGAAUGACAGAGUAUGUCAAUAAUGACCAGUUAUUGAUACACUGUUUUCAGGAUAGCCUCACGGGAGCUGCAUCAAAGUGGUAUAAUCAAUUAAGCCGUGCUAAGAUUAGUUCUUGGAGGGAUUUAGCACAGGUUUUUAUGAAGCAGUACGGUCAUGUGGCAGAAAUGGUUCCUGAUAGGAUUACUUUACAGAACAUGGAGAAAAAGUCGAAUGAAGAUUUUAGACAAUACGCUCAGAGGUGGAGGGAGGUAGUAGUACAGGUCCAGCCACCGCUUUUUGAGAGAGAAAUGACGAUGCUUUUUGUAAAUACGAUAAAGGCCCCUUUCAUCACACACAUGCUAGGCAGUGCCACGAAAAAUUUUACUGAUAUAGUCAUGAGUGGUGAGAUGAUUGAAAGUACUGUAAAGAGCGAGAAGAUUGAUGUUGGAGAUAACAACAGAAGACAAAAUUCAAAGAAAAAGAAGGUGAGAUAAACAACGUGAAUACACAUAGCAAAUCGAUUACGGUGAAUCAGCCCAGAAAGGUAGUGUCUGGUCAACAGGGUUCAUCAAAGUAGGAAUCUGGUACAAGGCCAAGUAAUGAGAGGCCUCAGUUUACACCCAUUCCUAUGUUGUACAAAGAGUUGUAUCAGAAUUUAUUUAACGCGCACGUUGUUGCCCUAUUUUAUUUGACCCCUUUACAGCCUCCAUAUCCUAAAUGGUAUGACGCAAAUGCAAAAUGCGAUUACCAUGCAGGAGUUACGGGGCACUCCAUAGAGCAUUGUACUGCUUUUAAAAAGCUUGUUGAGAAGCUCAUUCAGAUGGGCGUUGUCAAGAUAGAUGAUUCAUCAGGUACGGAAAAUCCAUUACCCAAACAUACUGAUGCAGGGGUAAACAUAGUAGGUGAAGGUAUGGGGAAGAAGGUCAAGGAGAAUAUUACUGAGGUAAGGAUCCCUUUGAGAAGGGUUUGGAAGGAAAUGGUAAGAAGAGGGUUGAUUGUUUCGGAUGUGGUGGAGAGUGACGAGACCCAAAAUUAUUGUGAGUUCCAUCAUGAGGUGAGACAUGAAAUUCAGGUGUGUGAGAAGUUCAGAGCUCUGGUCCAGAGCAUGAUGGAUGUUGGAGAAAUGGAGUUUUUUGAAGAGGAAGAAAGAAAAGGAAGUAUAUGCGUAUCGGAGUCAGAAGCGAGGAUUCCGAAGAUUAUCAUCUCGCACUCUAGGGUUACUGAAGUCAAGACACAGGUGACACCGAAGAUUGUUAUUCAAAAGCCGACGAAGUUUUUGUAUAAGGAUAGCAAGAAGGUUCCUUGGAAUUAUGAAUGCGAGAUAACAAUUUCGGGGAAGGAAGCUUCAAUUAGUGUUGCGAAAGAAAACCAAAAGACAGGUAUUCGUGUGAAUACUGAGAAGCAUGGUAGUGGGAUAAAUUCUCAGGCAGAAUCAGUAGAGGGAAAAGUCUUUGCAGCAGAGAAAAAGGAAGAGAAGAAGGUUGAAUUAAGGUCAUUGAUUAAUGAGCCAAUAAAAGAAGAAGAAGCCACUGAAUUCUUGAAAUUUUUAAAACACAGUGAGUAUAGUGUUGUAGAACAGCUGCAUAAACAGCCAGCUCGUAUAUCGGUGUUGGCCUUGCUCAAGAAUUCAGAGGUGCAUCGAAAUGCGCUGAUGAAGGCGUUAAAUGAAGCCUACGUGGCAAGUGAUAUUUCUGUCAACCAAUUGGAUCGGUUGAUCAACAAUAUAAGUGCUGAUAAUUUUAUCUUCUUCAAUGAUGACGAAAUAUCAUCUGGAGGUAUGGGAUCCACUAAAGCUCUGCACAUUACUGCUCGGUGUAAAGGAAGCCUGGUGUCGGGAGUUUUAAUUGAUAAUGGGUCUGCAUUGAAUGUACUGCCCUUAUCUACUCUCAAUAGGCUACCUGUGGAUAUCUCACAUAUGAAAAUAUGUCAAAACGUAGUAAGAGCGUUCGAUGGGAUGAAAAGGAAGGUUUUAGGGAGGAUUGAGAUACCGUUGCUGAUAGGCUCGAAUACUUAUGAAGUAGAUUUCAUUGUAAUGGAUAUUAAGCCUUCAUAUAACUGUUUAUUAGGCAGACCUUGGAUACAUUCGGCGGGGGCCGUGCCUUCAACGUUGCAUCAGAAGUUAAAAUUGGUGACAGAAGGACGGUUAGUGACAAUAAAUACCGAGGAAAGUAUUAUUGCGUCAGUGACCAGCAAUGCACCAUAUGUGGAGACGGACGAAGAGGCGGUGGAAUGUUCUUUCCGGACUUUAGAGUUUAUUAAUACAACAUUUAUUGCUGAGGGGAAUAGAAUUCCAGUACCGAAGAUAUCCAAGACUACAAAAAUGGGCCUUCAAUUAAUGGUGGGAAGAGGAGCUGUACCCGGAAAAAGAUUGGGAAGAGAUUUGCAAGGAAGAGUUGAAGCACCAGUGAUGAAAGAAAAGUUUGAUCGCUUUGGUCUGGGCUAUAGACCAGGUAUAAAACAAAGAAGAAAAGAAAUGGAGAGAAGACAGGAGAGAAGAAGGGCACGCCUGAGUGGAAAUGAAGUUAGGUGGGAGCCUUUGGUUUUUCCUCACAUAUCCAAGACCUUCGUAUGAGGAGGGUUUAUUCAUCCAGAACAAAGAGUGCUUGAGGUGGAAGGUGUUGAAGAGAUAUUGGGAGAUGUUCACAUCAAUGCCCUAGACACAGUUGAAAGAGAGACUUGGCUAGAGAUUCGCCCUUACGAGCCUGGAAGUGAUCUGGACAAUUGGACUGCAGAAGAGAUUCCUGUAAUUUUUAGAGCUUGUUCAGAGUAAAUAUGCAGAACAUCCUUGUCGAUUUGACUUAAAAUAUAAUUUCUAUAUGAAUUAGGCACAUCUUGGACAUUAUAAUAAAUAUACUUUUUCGUAUGCAUUUUUGAGCUAGUAUUCUUUUAUUUUUCCUUCGAGUAAUUAUUCUUUUUUCUUUUUCUUUCUUUUUUCUUCUUUUUUUACAUCAUUCUUUUAUUCAUUUCAUAAUCAUAUUUUCUUCAUAAAUUCAUAUAUUCUUUGUAUAUUCUUUGGCACCUAUCAUAGGUUCCCAGAUAUCAAUAAUUUGAAUGACGCUGCUUCAGACUCAGAAUCACCUUUCGAACGAGACCGGUGUUUAGAAGGAUCACAGAAUUUUAAAGAUGACAUAGACUGUGAUGUAUCUCCAGACUUAUUGAGAAUGGUAGAAGAGGAGGAUAAGCAAAUCUUACCUCAUAAAGAAUCACUGGAGAUUGUGAGUCUAGAGGAGGGAAAAGAAGUAAAGAUCGAAACUGACAUUUCUGCUAAGACAAGGCAGGACCUCAUUGAGUUACUCUGGGAAUUCAAAGAUGUCUUUGCAUGGUCAUAUCAAGAUAUGCCCGGGUUGAGCACUGAUAUUGUGGUGCAUCGUCUUCCCAUAAAAGAGGAUUACAAGUCGGUUCAGCAGAAGCUCAGAAGAAUGAGGCCUGACAUUGUGCUAAAGAUAAAAGAAGAAGUCAAGAAGCAGUUUGAUGCUGGGUUCUUGCAAGAAGUUAAGUAUUCAGAAUGGGUAGCUAAUGUUGUCCCUGUCCCUAAGAAAGAUGGGAAAGUGCGAAUGUGUGUGGAUUAUAGGGAUUUGAACAGAGCCAGUCCAAAAGAUAAUUUUCUGUUGCCUCACAUUGAUACUUUGGUAGAUAAUACUGCAGGCUAUUCAUUGUUUUCUUUCAUGGACGGUUUUUCUGGAUACAAUCAAAUAAAGAUGCAUCCAGAAGAUAUAAGAAAGACCACAUUUAUCACUUUGUGGGGAGCGUUCUGUUAUAAAGUGAUGCCUUUUGGAUUAAAGAAUGCGGGGGCAACUUAUCAAAUAGCUAUGGUAACUUUGUUUCAUGAGAUGAUGCACAGAGAGAUUGAGGUUUAUGUUGACGAUAUGAUUGCAAAAUCUAGAACGGAAGAGGAGCAUGUUCAAGUGCUGCGAAAAUUUUUUUUGAGAUUAAGAAAUUUCCAGCUCAAGCUUAAUCCAACAAAGUGCACUUUUAGAGCUAGAUCGGGGAAGUUGUUGGGCUUCAUAGCUAGUGGGAAAGGAAUUGAAGUUGAUCCAGACAAAGUCAGAGCAAUACGUGAUUUGCCUCCACCACACACACAGAAGGAAGUACGGGGUUUUUUGGGAAGAUUGAACUACAUUUCUCGGUUUAUUUCACAAUUAAUUGAGAAAUGUGAUCCCCUAUUUCGUCUCCUAAAAAAACAUAAUCCGGGCGUAUGGGAUGAAGAAUGCCGGAAUACUUUUGACAAAAUAAAACAAUAUUUGUCUAAUCCUCUAGUGCUAUCACCACCUAAUCCGGAUAGGCCAUUAAUACUGUAUCUAACAGUAUUUGACAAUUCCAUGGGGUGCGUGUUAGGCCAACAAGAUGAGACAGGGAGAAAAGAAAGGGCAAUAUACUAUCUCAGUAAGAAAUUCACUAAUUAUGAAGUGAGAUAUUCAGCUAUUGAGAAGUUGUGUUGUGCUUUGGUUUGGACAACUCGAAGAUUACGACAAUAUAUGUUGUAUCACACGACAUUGCUAAUUUCAAAGUUAGACCCCUUAAAGUAUAUGAUGGAGUCGACUACUUUGAAUGGAAGGAUGACCAGAUGGCAGAUCUUGCUUUCUGAAUUUAACAUAGUGUAUGUGAGUCAGAAGGCUGUGAAAGGGAGCACAAUAGCUGACUUUUUAACUAGUAGAGCCUUGGUGGAUUAUGAGCCUUUAAAUUUUGAUUUCCCAAAUGAGGAUUUGAUGUAUGUGACAACCGCAGAAGAAAAUCUCCAAAUGGAUCAGGUGUGGAAGUUAAAUUUUGAUGGAGCCUCAAAUGCUGUGGGUAAUGGAAUUGGGGCAGUCCUAAUAUCUCCAAGCGGAGAUCAUUAUCCUUUUGCUAGCAAGCUGAAUUUUGAUUGCACAAAUAAUAUGGUAGAGUAUGAAGCGUGCAUUAUGGGCAUUCGUGCAGCCAUCGAGCGUAAAAUCAAAGUGUUAGAAGUGUAUGGGGAUUCUGCACUAGUGAUAUAUCAACUCAAGGGAGAAUGGGAAACAAGGGACUCUAAACUGAUCAACUAUCGAAAGAUGGUUCUCGAAUUGAUGGACGAAUUCGAUGACAUUACUUUUUGUUAUCUUCCACGAGAUGAGAAUCAGAUGGCUGAUGCGUUGGCUACCUUAGCCUCCAUGAUCCGAGUGAAUAGGUUAGAGGACAUGAAGCUAUCCAGAUGAGUAUUUUUGAAACCCCGGCUCAUUGCUAUAAUGUUGAGGAAGAGGGAAAGGAUGAUCAUCCCUGGUAUUUGAAUAUAUUCCGAUAUGUAAAGAAUCGUGAGUAUCUAGAUUAGGCAAUGGAGAAUGAUAAAAGAGCACUGAGAAGAUUGGCUAUUGACUAUGUUCUAGAUGGAGAAAUCCUGUAUAGAAAAGGGAAGGAUCAAGUAUUGUUAAGAUGUGUGGAUGUAGUAGAAGUUAGAAAAAUUCUAGAAGAAAUCCAUUAAGGUAUCUGUGGCACACAUGCAAAUGGUUUCACAAUGGCUAGGUAGAUCAUGAGAUUUGGGUAUUAUUGGUCUACUUUGGAAAGGGAUUGCAUCAGCUAUGCUAAGAAGUGGCAUAAAUGCCAAAUUUAUAGUGAUAAAAUGCAUGCACCUCCUUCACCUUUUCAUGUUAUGACUUCUCCAUGGCCUUUCUCUAUGUGGGGUAUGGACGUCAUUGGGCCAAUAUCGCCCAAAGCUUCUAACGGGCAUCGCUUUAUCAUUGUGGUUAUUGACUACUUUACCAAAUGGGUGGAGGCGACUUCAUAUGCAAAUGUUACGAAGUCAGCAGUUAGCAAAUUCUUGAAAAAAGAAAUCAUAUGUCGAUAUGGAAUGCCUGAGAGGAUCAUAUCUGAUAAUGCACUGAAUUUGAACAAUAGUGUAAUAGCGGAGGUCUGCAGUCAAUUCGGGAUCAGACAUCAUAACUCGUCGCCAUACCGCCCAAAGAUGAAUGGUGCAGUAGAAGCAGCUAAUAAGAAUAUCAAAAAAAUUGUGGGAAAGAUGACCGAGACUUACAGGGAUUGGCAUGAGAAAUUACCAUUUGCUCUUUUUGCUUAUAGAACGUCUGUCAGGACGUCGACUGGGGCAACACCUUUCUCUUUGGUUUAUGGCAUGGAAGCCGUUUUACCUAUUGAGAUAGAAAUUCCUUCUCUCCGAGUAUUAUUUGAGUUGAAAUUGGAUGAGGCAGAAUGGAUUCAAUCUCGUUAUGAUCAAUUAAACUUAAUUGAAGGGAAAAUGCUAAAAGCUGUUCGGCAUGGUCAAAUGUAUCAAAAACGGAUGAUGCGGGCCUACAAUAAAAAAGUUUGUCCUAGAGAAUUUAAUGAGGGGGAGUUGAUGUUGAAAAGAGUCCUUCCUAUACAAAAGGAUUUCGGAGGGAAAUGGAUGCCAAAUUGGGAAAGUCCAUAUGUUGUAAAGAAAGCUUUUUCAGGGGGAGCUUUGAUUUUGAGUGAGAUGGAUGGCAAAGACUUGCCAAACCCUGUAAACUUGGAUUCAGUUAAGAAAUACUUUUCUUAAAAAAAAAGGGAAAAGGAGAGGCCAAUGUAAAAACCCGUAAAGGGCACUUUGAGACCAAAGGGGAUUUGAGUUGAAAACCCAAAAAAAGGCGGCUCAAAUGCUGAUCAGGUGACGCAUUCGGUGAUCUUGCAAUGAUUGAACCAAUAGGAAAGGGGACGCAACAUCUUGGGGCAUCGACAGAGUACUGUAGAUCUUCUAAGCACAUGUCGGAUUCAGAGUGGUCUUCAAGAAGUCUGUGCAGAGAAGUUCAAACUGUGAUAUCUGGGACACCUAGUCUUAAUAUUAUUUAUAUUGAAUUGCUUAUUCUUGGAAUACUUUAUUCUUUUCCAAGAUACGAGUCAAUUCCUCUUUUAUUCUCAAUAUUAUUGAUAAUUUAUUUAUUUUGAGCUAUGCUCUCAAUUCAAUUCUAUCUAUUCAUUUUUUUUCUUUCUUUUGGCAAAGCAUGUUGCAUUAGAAUAACGAUUAAUAAACUAAUAAAACUUUUACAAAGGAUUUUGCUUAUUACUUUGGAGGUUUCUAAAUAAUAUGAGAACCUGAAACAGGACUAUUGUUCAGAAUACACCUGGUUUAAAUGUGGGAAAUCUGAGAGGGAAGAGUCUAAAUUAAGACUAUCUCUUUGGAUUUUGUUGUCAAAAGCAUUGAUUAAAUAAAAUGACAAGAUGUCGUGUUGGUGACAAAGCGUCAAUGAACAAUCAAGCAAUGAUCACCUUGCAAUAAGAGGAUGUUUUCUCGGAGAAGAAAAUCUUUCAUUUGUGCAUAGGCAUUUGGUAUGACACCUUGAGAAUGGUACAGAGGUCUAAAGUGCUUCACAUUGCGAUAAGAGAAGAUCGAGAAGUCAUGUUUUUCUACCCUUGGGUUACAGUGAAAAGAUGAUACAAAUUUUGUGUCUCAGUGGAUUAAACUUUAAAGUUUACAGUAGGGGGCAAUCUGAUUAAGUUUUUCUUUGGAGAUGCCAGCCAAGUAAGAAGGCGUUGUAGCACGUCGGUGAUAAAGUCUUAGUAAACUUUGAGUAAUGACAACCUAAGCGGGGUCAUUCUCUAAAAAUAAUAUUUUACAUUCAUUCAUACACGUCUAGUUAGGAGCAUUUGAUUUAUUCUAAUCAUGACAUCCUAAUCAUUAGGCAUAAUUAGGUUCAUAAAUUGAAUUAUACAGGUCAUGUUCCCCAGAGAACAAACCGGUGAAACUUCAGUCUUAUCUCCCUGAAGUUGCAGUGAAGCAGACAGAAGAAAUCAAUUCUAUCUCCUUGAAGUUGCAGUGGAGCGGAUUAACAUCCAGAUCUUAUCUUUCUGAGGUUGCAGAGAGCAGAUCGCAUCCAGUCUUAUCUCCCUGAAGUUGCAUGGAGCAGACAGAAGAAAUCAAUCCUAUCUCCCUGAAGUUGCAGUGGAGCGGAUUAACAUCCAGAUCUUAUCUUUCUGAGGUUGCAGAGAGCAGAUCGCAUCCAGUCUUAUCUCCCUGAAGUUGCAGUGGAGCAGACAGAAGAAAUCAAUCUUAUCUCCCUGAAGUUACAGUGGAGCAGAUUAACAUCAAGAUCUUAUCUUUCUGAGGUUGCAGAGAGCAGAUCGUAUCCAGUCUUAUCUCCCUGAAGUUGCAGUGGAGCAGACAGAAGAAAUCAAUUCUAUCUCCUUGAAGUUGCAGUGGAGCGGAUUAACAUCCAGAUCUUAUCUUUCUGAGGUUGCAGAGAGCAGAUCGCAUCCAGUCUUAUCUCCCUGAAGUUGCAGUGGAGCAGACAGAAGAAAUCAAUCCUAUCUCAUUGAAGUUGCAGUGGAGCGGAUUAACAUCCAGAUCUUAUCUUUCUGAGGUUGCAGAGAGCAGAUCGCAUCCAGUCUUAUCUCCUUGAAGUUGCAGUGGAGCAGACAGAAGAAAUCAAUCCUAUCUCCCUGAAGUUGCAAUGGAGCGGAUUUACAUCCAGAUCUUAUCUUUCUGAGAUUGCAGAGAGCAGAUCGCAUCCAGUCUUAUCUCCCUGAAGUUGCAGUGGAGCAGACUAAAAAUAGCAAUUUUUGUUCUUUUGAGAAGCUACAAGGUACAAGUCCUACCUCCUUGAUGUUGCAGUGGAGUGGAUUGAAGCACCGAUUCCUAUACCUUUGAAGACGCAGUAGGUUGGAAUGAGGCUACUUGAAGAGCGCCAAGGUCCAGCAUGACCGGGCAAAAUUGGGCUUUAGACUCUUUGCUCUGUUCCCGUUACACGACAACGAGCAAAGAGGGGCAGCUGUGAUACCCAAUUCUUGUCCGGGGCCCAAAACUGUUUACAGCCUACAUUUGGCUGAAUACAAACCAAUCACAUGAGGCCCAAUAAAGCCCAAACCAAUAACACUAUACAGCCCGAAUUUUUCAAGGUCACAGAAACCCUAAGAGGCUGAUGGUUUCGGCGCCGCAACUACCCACGUUCAUCAAACCGUUCAUCGAGCCAUGUCUUUGCUCACACGUUCGGCAGUUUCCACAAGGCCCGUUUCCACGUUCG
RNAcentral lists this long non-coding RNA (14548 nucleotides) under Gossypium barbadense (sea-island cotton). RNAcentral describes it as "long non-coding RNA (GBAR_LNC021835)". Lineage: Eukaryota; Viridiplantae; Streptophyta; Magnoliopsida; Malvales; Malvaceae. The record is from RNAcentral.